GAUGAACGCUAGCUACAGGCUUAACACAUGCAAGUCGAGGGGUAGCAGGGUAGCAAUACCGCUGACGACCGGCGCACGGGUGAGUAACACGUAUCCAACCUUCCCAUAACUCGGGGAUAGCCUUUCGAAAGAAAGAUUAAUACCCGAUAGUACUUUUUCAAGGCAUCUUGAAAAAGUUAAAGAUUUAUUGGUUAUGGAUGGGGAUGCGUUCCAUUAGAUAGUUGGUGAGGUAACGGCUCACCAAGUCUUCGAUGGAUAGGGGUUCUGAGAGGAAGGUCCCCCACAUUGGUACUGAGACGCGGACCAAACUCCUACGGGAGGCAGCAGUGAGGAAUAUUGGUCAAUGGGCGAGAGCCUGAACCAGCCAAGUAGCGUGAAGGAUGAAGGUCCUAUGGAUUGUAAACUUCUUUUAUAGUAGAAUAAAGUGAGCCACGUGUGGUUUUUUGUAUGUAUACUAUGAAUAAGGAUCGGCUAACUCCGUGCCAGCCGCCGCAGUAA
RNAcentral lists this ribosomal RNA (498 nucleotides) under uncultured bacterium. Its description in RNAcentral is "partial 16S ribosomal RNA". It matches the Rfam family "Bacterial small subunit ribosomal RNA", at positions 28 to 523 of the family's 1533-position model. The record is from RNAcentral.